RNAcentral lists this ribosomal RNA (305 nucleotides) under uncultured bacterium. Its description in RNAcentral is "bacterial SSU rRNA". It matches the Rfam family "Bacterial small subunit ribosomal RNA", at positions 333 to 635 of the family's 1533-position model. The record is from RNAcentral.
GCCGUCCUACGGGACGCAGCAGUGAGGAAUAUUGGUCAAUGGGCGGGAGCCUGAACCAGCCAAGCCGCGUGAGGGAAGAAGGUACAGCGUAUCGUAAACCUCUUUUGUCAGGGAACAAAGGCGGGGACUAGUCCCCGGAUGAGGGUACCUGAAGAAAAAGCAUCGGCUAGCUCCGUGCCAGCAGCCGCGGUAAUACGGAGGAUGCGAGCGUUAUCCGGAUUUAUUGGGUUUAAAGGGUGCGCAGGCGGCCUGUUAAGUCAGCGGUAAAAGCCCGGGGCCCAACCCCGGGACUGCUCUUGGAACUG